This 253-nucleotide ribosomal RNA is filed under the name uncultured bacterium. Its description in RNAcentral is "partial 16S ribosomal RNA". It matches the Rfam family "Bacterial small subunit ribosomal RNA", at positions 524 to 776 of the family's 1533-position model. The record is from RNAcentral.
UACGGAGGGUGCAAGCGUUAUCCGGAUUCACUGGGUUUAAAGGGUGCGUAGGCGGGCAGGUAAGUCCGUGGUGAAAUCCCCGAGCUUAACUCGGGAACUGCCAUGGAUACUAUUUAUCUUGAAUGUCGUGGAGGUUAGCAGAAUAUGUCAUGUAGCGGUGAAAUGCUUAGAGAUGACAUAGAAUACCCAUUGCGAAGGCAGCUAACUACGCGAUAAUUGACGCUCAUGCACGAAAGCGUGGGGAUCAAACAGG